UUUGAAGGGGACCUGUCCGUAGUACGAGAGGACCCGGACAGACGAACCUCUGGUGUUCCAGUUGUCGCGCCAGCGGCAGGUGCUGGGUAGCUAUGUUCGGAAAGGAUAAGCGCUGAAUGCAUCUAAGCGCCAAGCCUCCUCUAAGAUGAGAUAUCCCUACUGAGUAAUCAGUACUGAAGACACCUUGAAGACUACAAGGUUGAUAGGCCAGGUGUGUAAGUGCAGUAAUGUAUUGAGCUAACUGGUACUAAUCAGUCGUGCGCCUUAAUCGA
RNAcentral lists this ribosomal RNA (272 nucleotides) under Candidatus Theseobacter exili. RNAcentral's name for it is "partial 23S ribosomal RNA". It matches the Rfam family "Bacterial large subunit ribosomal RNA", at positions 2661 to 2925 of the family's 2925-position model. The record is from RNAcentral. Lineage: Bacteria; Pseudomonadati; Candidatus Auribacterota; Candidatus Auribacteria; Candidatus Theseobacterales; Candidatus Theseobacteraceae.